Molecule: small nuclear RNA, 105 nt
Organism: Rattus norvegicus (Norway rat)
Lineage: Eukaryota; Metazoa; Chordata; Mammalia; Rodentia; Muridae
Source: Ensembl
GGACACUUGGGCAGCACAUAUACUAAAAUUGGAAGGAUACAGAGAAGAUUAGCAUGGCCCCUGCACAAGGAUGACACACAAAUUUAUGAAGCUUUCCAUUUGAUA